ACGAACGCUGGCGGCAUGCCUAACACAUGCAAGUCGAGCGCCCGUAGCAAUACGGGAGCGGCGCACGGGUGAGUAGCGCGUGGGAACCUGCCCAGAGGUUCGGGACAACCGCGGGAAACUGCGGCUGAUACCGGAUGAUGCCUGAGGGCCAAAGAUUUAUCGCCUUUGGGUGAGCCCGCGUUGGAUUAGGUAGUUGGUGGGGUAAAGGCCUACCAAGCCUGCGAUCCAUAGCUGGUCUGAGAGGACGAUCAGCCACACUGGGACUGAGACACGGCCCAGACUCCUACGGGAGGCAGCAGUGGGGAAUCUUGCGCAAUGGGCGAAAGCCUGACGCAGCCAUGCCGCGUGAGUGAUGAAGGUCUUAGGAUUGUAAAGCUCUUUCGCUCGCGACGAUGAUGACGGUAGCGAGAGAAGAAGCCCCGGCUAACUUCGU
Molecule: ribosomal RNA, 433 nt
Filed under: uncultured bacterium
Lineage: Bacteria
Description: bacterial SSU rRNA
Rfam family: Bacterial small subunit ribosomal RNA
Source: RNAcentral